CGGAUGUAGCCAANUGGAUCAAGGCAGUGGAUUGUUAAUCCACCC
This 45-nucleotide transfer RNA is filed under the name Calycolpus moritzianus. Its description in RNAcentral is "partial tRNA-His". The record is from RNAcentral. Lineage: Eukaryota; Viridiplantae; Streptophyta; Magnoliopsida; Myrtales; Myrtaceae.